This 959-nucleotide long non-coding RNA is filed under the name Lynx pardinus (Iberian lynx). Lineage: Eukaryota; Metazoa; Chordata; Mammalia; Carnivora; Felidae. The record is from RNAcentral.
AAGAUGCUCAGCAAAAGAAGGGAAGCUUGAGAUUUGAGAGAAAAGGGAAGGUUUGUAGUAUCAAAAUUCCAUGCUCACCCCCCCUACUGAAACUCGCCCAUAAAGCUACUUUUUGAAAAGCCUUUAAAACAAGGAGGGGGAAGUACUGAAAGCAGCUUUCAUGUCUGCCAAAAUGUAGGUUCAUUAACCAGUAUAUAAAGAAAUGAAAUUUUGGUUCACUUGCUGUGAUAUUAAUUUCAAAAUAAAUUGAAUACAGUGUAUUUAAUUUUUCAGGAUGUUCCUCUGGGGCAUGAGCACUGUUUAUGGGCUCAGUAAAUAUAUAAUACCAAAUCUGGAUUGAUAGAAAAAUAGAAACAUAAAGCUAAGAAAAAUUGAAAAGGAAUUCAAGAAUCAGGGAGACAGAGUAGGAUAUGUGAAAAGACAUGGGAUAAGAAGUUAGAUAAUGGGACUGUUAAGAAGAUACAGGAGUUGUAAAGAAUGCACGGGAAUGAAGGGAAAGUAAAGAAGUGACCUUCAUUUACUGUCUCAUCUCUUCCAUCUCUGCCUCCCCAGCUCUGCAUAGCUGAGUUCCAUAAUGUUCCAUCACCUCACCCUGGGUCAUCCAUGUCAGUCAGGAAGUUUGAAGAUGUUCCAGUCUCCCAGCAGGUGGAUUUGUCUAUGAAGAGGGGAAUCAUUCAUUAGCUGACUGUACCUAAUUUCUAAUAGAAGGGCAGGUUCUCCAAACUGACCUAUGGAUGCACUUCAUCCACCAGCACUGAAGUUGCUGUUUAGAUCAAUGGUGGAGGCUAAUGAGAUUUGCAGACUGGAAUGAAUCAGACCUGAAUAUGCUAAGUACAGUUGAUGAACUAUAAGCCAAAUAGGCAAAGGAAACAUUAAUUAACAACCAGCCUCAAAAUCCAAGGUAGUGGUUGUCCAAUGAGAAGAAACGAUGCUAACAACUUGUGUGUGACAGAGAUAGG